AUAACUAUAUUGCCAUGGAAUACGAGUAUUUACUUACUAAGAGUUUCCAAAUUCUGGAGGGAUCACAUAGGGAGAAAAGGAUAAAUGCUUCAGUUUUGCUUACAAAUUUCUAUAAGUCAUAGUUCCUUAAGAG
Ceratotherium simum simum (southern white rhinoceros) is the source of this 133-nucleotide non-coding RNA. Lineage: Eukaryota; Metazoa; Chordata; Mammalia; Perissodactyla; Rhinocerotidae. The record is from RefSeq and is a predicted model, not a curated record.